Molecule: long non-coding RNA, 11771 nt
Filed under: Homo sapiens (human)
Lineage: Eukaryota; Metazoa; Chordata; Mammalia; Primates; Hominidae
Description: HSALNT0401323
Source: RNAcentral
CUCCUGCCUUUGUUGUUUCUUCUUUUCCUGGCGUCUGGGUUUUUCUCCCAAUGGGGUGGGUGGUUUGUGUCCCGAUUCACUGCUAGUCCCAGAAGGUGUCCAGCCGAGACUCUUUCGGGAGGAGGCUCUUCGUGCUGGUACUGGUGUUGUGAUCGGAACGUGUCGAUCCCCUCUUCUCAUCACUGCUGCUCCAACUGGAUUUAUUACUCCGGGAAUGGUCUGAGGGGGAAAACCAAUGUGUUUAGCGUGCCUGCCCACCUGCGCCUGAGCACAACUAUCCUGCAAUCUGACCUGCCCCUCCUGCACAGGAAACCACCUUCCCCUCCCAAUUGAUGGUUCAAACACUGCCACCGCUGACUGCCCUGCAUCUGUGGGUCUGUAGAACAGAAAGGUAGAACAACUUAUUUUUUAGGAUUUAACGACAACCGGUUGAAAAAACGGUAGGGUGUCAUGCUCACAGAGAAUAAAGAUUUGUAGAAAAGGUGCUGAACUGCCAAGGAAGGCAUUUCUUGUGCCGUGUCUGGAACCGUGUAUCCUUACUACAUCACUGAACGACACCAAGCACCCCAUGCACUUCUGGGUCCAACCUUGGCCCCUGGAGAAAGACACUGAAAUUUGGCAUGCAGUCUACUUCCGUUAGUGGGAUUUCUUUUAUCAAUGUAUAGGCAACUUGAAAAAUGGCCUUACAACCAAAUCACACUUGUCCACCCAAGGGAAAGGAUCAUAAAGGAGAAGAAUGGUUAAGUCCACCUGGGAACACACACCCACUGACUCCCGGUAAGGACAAGCUUAUGGGUGACUGAAGAAUUCAGAAUCAGAAUAAGACCUAGGAUGGCUUCAAGGACACAUGGACAAGGAGCUGAGUAGUGACUGAGUAAGAAAUAAGUGAAGAAGCUGAAGGAAGAGCCGAAUGAGGUGUCUGUGAAGAGCACUUUAGCCAACAGCCCAGCCCAGAUCUGCAGCUCUGCUAGAUGGCUGACUGGAGAAACCUUCCAGCCAAGCCCUAAGAUCCCAUCACAUCCUGGAUCAUGUACUAAGUUCAGACAGACUGGGACAGAAUUAUUUUUUAAUUUCUUAAGGUGGGUGAUAAUGUUUGGUUGAAAGAGGUUGAGGGCAAGAGUGGAGUGGGCCAAGGAGGGGACCAUGCUACUACCUAGGGGGGCUGCAUUUCUUACUGCCUGGUAAAAAGGCAUGUGUGGGUAAUCAUGAGUUCUGGAAGAUAAGCAGUGAAGAGAAUGACAAAGAUCUCCAAAGUCAUGUAGUUACUCAGGAGAGAACUCUUCUUAGUCAUGUGCAUCAGUGACCAAAAGGGAGCAAUACUAUGGUAGGCAGAGCUGGGGGCAAGGGCGGAGUCUUCUUAACAAUCCUCAAUCUGCCUUCUUAUGCCUUCUUCCCUUAGCCGCCAUGCCUAUGCUUUUAUUUCUCCGGAAGGACUCUGGGGAGUGAUGCAGCUGGUCAUCCCCAUCUGGGAGAAAAUCCUACAGUGAUGUGGUCAAACCACAUCAAGUCCUUCCAGCUCUGGUGAGGGCAGAGACCACCAGCGGGUACUGGAAGAAAUGGGACCAGGGCCAAGCUGAGUUCAGUAUCUCUCUCCCAGAACCAGGCUGGCUAAUGGAGGGAUCUGCAGGCCCUCACUCCUCAUAUGGAGAGGACACGGGACACUGGCUGCCAUAGCCAAUCACCACAGGAGGGAAUCGGUGUUCAUCUAGGACCCUUUAUGAAAAGAGCGAGGACGAUCUCCAUCAAGAAGCCAGGCCACAUGCUCGCUCUCAUUUCCUAAUGCAGUUUGUGAUGGCGACCAGAGGCACAGCGAAGAAGAAACGUUGCAAAGGAAGACCCACAACUCAAAAGAACAGGAGAAGACACACCCACAAAGGAACACAUACACGGACACACACAGAACAAGCCUUCUGCAUACCAGGAAGAAGCCCCGGCAGCUUUCGUAAGACAGGUUCAUACUUACACUUCUGGGCGGGGUAGUUGGGGUGCGGCUGGUGGUCUGUGGUGGUUGGGGCAUAGGCAGGUUGCUUGUCACACCUUUUGCUAACUGAAGAGAUAGCACAGGUAGCCUCAGAGUCUGUCAGAGAGCUGGAAUUCCGCACAACCCCAAGUGCUUACUAUUUUUGUUCAUCAACAGGCUACUGUUAUUAGAACCAGUUGGCACCUUCAUUCAUGUCACCAUUGUCCAACUUUAAUGCAAGCACAGGAGACUAAGUCUCUUUAAAAAUGCAUAUCAAACCACAAACAGCAUCACUGGACACAGCACAGCAUUACAGGUAGGAAAUAAGGUAUACAAUGACAUAAAAGCAACUCAGCAUUUUGUAAGCCACAAAUUUUCAACCACUAGCUCUGCCAAUAGCCUAAUUCAACCAUGGGAAACGGAGGCAGGCACUAGAAACGUGCUAAGGUUGAAGGCAGCACCCGAGAAAGCCAGACAAUUUAAGGCAAUAACUCAUCAACUGCCCACAGUGAUAACAGAAUAGGGAGGAGAGGAUGGAGAAGGCACACGUGAUGAGGAGGACUAAGGAAGGGGCUCCAGAUGAGGUGGCAAGUAAGCUAAAUUCUCAGCUACGAUGGUAGCACACCAACAAAUCACCUCUGAAAUCAGAGUCAAAAAACAGUGAUAUGAAAGGAGUCUCCGUAAACAGCUGAUACCGUGAGAAGCUUCAUAGGAAAACAAUUGAAAGUAAGAUCAAGAGAAAAAAUAGAAACUCCAGGAAAAAGGCUAUAAAAGAAUGGAAUAUAAUCACAGUACACUAUGUGACUCUGCCAUGAAUGAUAUGGUCAUAAUCAUACAAGAAAGAAUUGUCACACUGCAACUUUUUAGACUAAGCCAACAGACAAGAGUGAGGCUUAACUGCAGUUAUAGGACAGAAUGCACAUGUUCUCAACCUUGACAACGGGGAAAGUCACAGGACAGGUGGGAAGCCUGGCUAUGACAGGGGUGGGAGAGGUAAGGAGAAGAUGGACUGCCAAAAGAGGGGUCAAGAGAUACUGUCUGUAGCAGACAGAACAAAAGAGCUAAGGAGGCAAGUGUUUCACUGGAGCAAGGUAGCACAUAAAAUAGCAACCUCAGUAGUGUGGGAAGAGGAAGAGAAGAGUAACUCUCAUCUUUUAAAGCUCGAAGUCAACAAAUAAUAUCUAAUGAUGAAGUCAAGAAAUAGAGGUAUAGCCAAGUACAUUAUUUAUUAGUAAGGAGGUAACAGAAGGACCAGAAUGAGCCGUGUAAACUGGAACUAGGAAGAGUUUUCCCCUGCACUAUUUUAUUCUCUGCAACUCUAUGCAUAUAGCUCUAACUAAAAGCUUAAAACGAAAAGAUGAACAGGAGAGGCCCACACACUAAGGGAGCUCAUACCCCUAACUAAAAUUCUCUCUCUUCCAACUAAACUUAGAUGUACUGUCCUAGUACCUGAUGCACAUAAAUAGCUCAGAAGCCUUGACGUUUUUAAAACCCAUGUUCCUUCUAGAUAUGUCACGUGCGCUGUCACCAGAAAGCAAGUGCUGGCAGAAGUAAAGUGACAUGGAUGAGGAAUUAAUUAGAAGGGGAUCAAAACUGAGGAAGUCUUUUUGCUUUGACGUGACCUGUCAACACAAACUGCUUUGGUGAGAAAAUCGGGAAGACUGAGAAGACUGACGGCUGCAUUCCCGCACAGACCUCUGCGGCCUCCCUGCAGCUUCUCACUCACACUCUCAGAAUCACUGCGGCACUGACUGCAAAACGCACUUUUUCUGCCACUUUCUGACCAUGGGCUCCAUGGCGCUCUCACUGUGCUGAUGUGACUCUGCCCAGCCUCUUUCCAAGUCCUAAAUGUCGGACUAAAUCUCUUGUUUUUGAGACACAGUCUCACUCUGUCGCCCAGACUGGAAUGCAGUGGCACGGUCUCAACUCACUGUAACCUCCGCCUCCUGGGUUCAAGUAAUUCUCAUGCCUCAGGCCCCUGAGUAGCUGGGAUUACAGGGGUGUGUCACCACGCCUAGCUAAUUUUUUGUACUUUUAGUAGAGACGGGGUUUCACCAUGUUGGUCAGGCUGGUCUUGAACUCCUGACCUCAAAUGAUCCACCCACCUUGGCCUCUCAAGGUGUUGGGAUUAUAGGCAUGAGCCACCACGCCUGACCUAAAUGCGGGGCUAAAUCUCUUUUAGUGUAGCCCCGGGUGCACCUCAAUCUUUAUCCAAACCCUGGAGAGGAGGCCCUUUCUGACAUGAAGAUACCAUGAUUCUAGCCAAUCUGGUCGUCUUUUAAGAAAAAAGUCUCUGCUGCUGACCACGGUGGCACAUGCCUAUGAUCCCAGCUACUCAAGAGGCUGAAGUGGGAGAAUGGCUUGAGCUCAGGCCAAGUUCAAGGCCAGCCUCGGCAACAAGGCAAGAUCCUGUCUCUUAGGUUUCAAAACAACAUUUAGAAUUAAAAAUGUCGGCCAGGCAUGGUGGCUCACGCCUGUAAUCCAAGCAGUCUGGGAGGCCGAGGCAGGUGGAUUGCCUGAGCUCAGGAGUUCGAGACCAACCUGGGCAACACGGUGAAACCCCAUCUCUAAUAAAAUACAAAAAAUUAGCUGGGCGUGGUGGUGUAUUCCUGUAAUCUCAGCUGCUCAGGAGGCUGAGGCAGGAGAAUCACUUGAACCUGGGAAGCAGAGGUUGCAGUGAGCCAAGAUUGCACCACUGCACUCCAGCCUGGGCAACAGUGCAAGACUCCAUCUCAAAUACUAAUAAUAAUAAUAAUAAAUGUCCAUGACUGUUAAUGGCUUAGGGGGAUGGUGGAGUAUCAGAAUAGAAACUGUAUCAUAGCAGCAGCGGAGUGUGUAAAGAAAGGGAAAUGGAGACAAAUGAAACAACUUUUUUUUUUUUUUUUAAAUAUGAGGUCUCACUCUGUUGCCCAGCUGGAGUGCAGUGGCUAUUCACAGGCACUCACUGCAGUCUCAAAACUCCUAGGCUCAAGUAACCCCCCUGACUCAGCCUCUCCAAGUAGCUGGGACUACAGGUGGGCCCUAGCUCUAGAAUAACAACCCUUGAAGAGACAUCUAACUAACUGGGUUGAGGAAGGAGACAGGACAGGUCUUAAGCUAUGCCAUUCAAUAUGGUAACCACUACAAUAAGAUACAAUGUUAAAUUCCAUUCCUCAGUCGCACUAGCCACAGUUCAAGGCUUCAGCAGCGACACGUGGCUAGUGGCUACCAUAGUGGACAGUGCAAAUAUAAGAACAUGGCCAUUGUCACAGAACGUUCUAUUGGAGAUGCAAGGUGUCAAGGAAGGCACUUGGAGAUAGAUGAGGAUAUUUAAGUGCCUAGGAAGAAAAGCAAUACAGAGUGAGAAAUCUGGCUACAACAAAGGAUGCAGAUGCCUUUGAACGGCAGGAGGGAAGGACAGAGCACACCACGGAGGCCCUGCAGAGGGCAGAGGAGCAGCCCUGAGCGCCCAGGGAUGGUGACGCAGGGAGAGAUGCAGGGAGGUCCAAAACAGAGCAGAGAACUUGAGAAAUAGCCAUCAUGGACGAUGGAAUCCUGAUAAAAACAAAAAACUUGGGUCACAACACAGGCCUCUGGCCAGGCACGGUGGCUCAUGCCUGUAAUCCAGCACUUUGGGAAGCCAAGGUGGGUGAAUCACUUGAGGUCAGGAGUUCAAGACCAGCCUGGCCAACACAGUGAAACCUUGUCUCUAUUAAAAAUACAAAAAAUUAGUUGGGCAUGGUGAUGCACACCUGUAAUCCCAGCUACUCAGGAGGCUGAGGCAGGAGAAUCACCUGAAUUGAGGAGGCAAAGGUUGUAGUGAGCCAAGAUCACGCAACUGCACUCCAGUCUGGACAACAGAGCGAAGACUCUGUCUCAAAAAAAAAAAAAAAAAAAAAAAGGGCCGGGCUGGGCGUAGUGGCUCAAGCUUGUAAUCCCAGCACUUUGGGAGGCCAAGGCACGUGAAAUCACCUGAGGUCAGGGGUUCAAGACCAGCCUGGCCAACAUGGUGAAACCCCAUCUCUACUAAAAAUACAAAAUUAGCUGGGUGUGGUGGUGCACACCUAUAAUCCCAGCUACUCGGGAGGCUGAGGCAGGAGAAUCACUUGAACCCAGGAGGCAGAGGUUGCAGUGAGCCGAGAUCAUGCCACUGCACUCCAGCCUGGGCGACAGAGCAAAGACUCUGUCUCAAAAAAGUAGAAUAAAAAAAGAACACAGGUCUCUGGGGACAAAAAGUAUUAAUAAAAGAAAAACAUAUUGGGAAGACGAUCCGGCAGAAGAGAAUAUCUGCUUCUGAGGUUAGUGACCCAGAUUUGCGUGUGUGAUGAGAGGAGUUUGUGUUCUUGUGUAACAUUCUCCAGUUAAGCACUGAGGCUCAGGUGCAGGUAAAUCAAAAGCGGAAAGCUGGGGUUCAUCCAAGGUGAGGUUUUGCCAAAUGGACAUGCUAGGAAAACAGGAAGGGCCUGGGAGACUGGGUUGUAUUAGCAACAGUACUCCAUGGAAAUUAAGCUGGGUAAGGAGGUAGGAAGGAGGGAGGUAUAGAAACAAGACAGUUAGUAGAAUUGGGUGAGGAAAAAAAGGCCACAUCUGCACGCUGACGUUUCCUAGAGAUCAGUGCCUUAUUAGCAGAGCCACGCACAAGUGCCAUUACUCAGCCAUUUUUGAGUUACAACAAUUUUAUAGGUGUCCACCUAAGUAUACCUGACAUAUGGUUGCAAGCAUGAGUCUGGAUUGCAAAGCUCAAUUGGUUGCAUAUGGUUGCAAAGCUCAGUCCUUGUUAAAAAGAGAAUCAAGAAAUAUGAGAGAUGCUAAAGACAUCUCAGUAUCAAACUAAGCCUGUUCGAAGGGGAAGUGAAGAGGGAGUUGCUUUCUCAGUAGGUGCUUCCGUCAUAUUUAAUGCCAAGUUCGUAUCCUUCCUAAAGUGAGCUCACGUUACUCCCUCUGACUGUGCCCCCAAAUCCCACCCACCCACCUUUCAAAGCAUGAGUCUGGAGAGAUCUGAACUGAAGUCUUGGCUCUCAUAAUUACUCAUUGAGUUACCUGGGCAUCUGAGUUAAUGUCUCUGGACCUCAACUUGCUCAUCUGUAUAAUGGAAAUACUAACUAUGCUCUUACAGACAUUGGGGAAAAACAUGAUAAGGUGUUCAUGCUCUUCAGUAUCACCAAUAGCUGCUCUUCUGACUUCCUUUGAAACUCCACGAAGAUAGGCAUUUAUCUGCCUUAUUCAGAAAAACUGCCCCUUCCUCCCCCUGCUCGCCCCCCUCUUCCCCCCACCAUUUACUGGGGCUUCUUGCCUCCUCUCCCUUCCACUCCCUGGGCCAGUGUGCCUCAGGUCAGGAGUCAGCAAACUAUGGCCAGCUCAAUGCCUGUUUUUGCAAUUCAAGUUUCAUUGGCACAAGGCACACGUUUGUUUACAUAUUAUCUAUGUCUACUUUCACACUACAACGGCAGGGUGAGCAGCUAUGACAGGAACCAUGCGGCCUGCAAAACCUAAAAUACUUACUAAAUGGCCCUCUAUGGAAAAAGUUUCUUGACCCUGGUCUAGGUAAUACUCCUCCAGCUCAGAAUGGAAUACGAUGCCUCUCCCAACUACCUUCCUGUAUGCCACCCUCCUGAUGCCAACAGACUCCUGCCAGAUUCAUCCUACCACGGCAUCAUUCAUCUUCUCAGAUGCCAUUUCAAUCAAGCCACUUUGAGGCUCCAAAACCCUAACAGCACCCCUCUGUCUGAAACGGUGUUUCCCUAACUUGGACCUUCCUCACACCACUUGUGCCAUUUCGACACAUCCAUAGUCCUCUUACAUAUUGCUUAGUUCAUGUUUUUAUUUUAAACUUAUGUAACUUAGGUAAAUAACUAAACUUUUAUUGUUAACCAACAAAAAACACAAAACCAAUAAAAUCUGCUGUUAAAUCAAGGGCAACUCCAAAAAUGAAUGUAAUGAAAACCUUAAAUUAAAAGUUCUAGGGUGGGGAGCAUGCGGCUAAAAUCUAGAGUCUGCUCAGUCUUUGUUAAAAAGAGAAUCAGGAAAUAUGAGAGAUGCUAAAGACAUCUUAGCACUAAACUGAGCCUGUUACAAGGGGAAGUGAAGAGGGAGUUGCUUUUUCAAUAGGUGGUUCAGUCAUAUUUAAUGCCAAGUUCAUAUCCUCCCUCCUAAAGCAAGCUCAUAUUACUCCCUCUGACUGUGCCCCCAAAUCCCAUCCAACUUUCAAGGCCUAGCCCCUUAGGGAAACCGUUCCCAGCCCCUAACAAUGGACAUCACUUCUUCCUCCAUGCACUCAAUAUGCAGAAGUGAAAUGAAAUGUUUGCUUUUCAGCUCAAGAGAAUCGUCAGUGGCUCACGCCUGUAAUCCCAGCACUUCCGGAGGCAGAGGCGGGAGGAUCACUUGAGGUCAAGAGAUCAAGACCAACCUGGCCAACAUGGCAAAACCCCGUUUCUACAAUUUUUUUUUUUUUUUUUUUUGAGAGAGAGUCUCGCUCUGUCUUCCAGGCUGGAGCGCAGUGGCACGAUCUCGACUCACUGCAACCUCCACCUCCUGGGUUCAAGCGAUUCUCCUGCCUCAGCCUCCCAAGUAGCUGGGAUUACAGGCGCAUGUCACCACGCCCAGCUAAUUUUUGUACUUUUAGUAGAGACAGGGUUUCACCAUGUUGGUCAGGCUGGUCUCAAACUCCUGACCUUGUGAUCCGCCCACCUCAGCCUCCCAAAGUGCUGGGAUUACAGGCAUGAGCCACUGCGCCCGGCCUACCAAAAUUUUUUUAAAAAAUUAGCCAGGCAUGGUGGUGCGUCCCUGUAGUCCCAGCUACUUGGGAGGCUGAGGCAGGAGAAUCACUUGAGCCUGGGAGGCGGAGGUUGCAGUGAGCUGAGAUCACACUACUGCACUCCAGCCUGGGCGACAGGGCAAGACUGUCUCAAAAAAAAAAAAAAAUCAUCAUCAGGCAGAAAGGUCCUGGAGCUGUGGUGCCAGGCAAAAACCUUGAAUGAAGUAAAACUGUCUUCCACCAGGAAGACACCUUCUCUGAACCCUUCUGGAAUGACCCAAAACUGCUUUAAGAAAGUGCAGGAAAAAGAUUCUUUGGGCUAAGGAAGGAAGACAGCUCAAACCCCACAGAAGAAAAAACCUAGAUGUCAAGUCUCAGAAAUUUCCCCAAACCUGCCUGCCAGGUUAUUCUCCAAAAGGAAAGGAUUUAACAGAAAGAUCAUCCACUUAAGCACUGCCUUCAAUUCUCAAAGGCUUGAGCGCCUUCAUCCACCAUAUGCAGGUGUCAGAACCUCAGAAUAAAAUCUUACACAGUGUCAUUUACCGUUCUCAUUUCCCUGAGAGAGAGAGAAAAAAAAAACUUCCCAAUCCAAAUGCACUUCUUCUACCCUACCCCAGGUCAGCAACAGAACCCUCUGUCCAAAUGGAGUUUUAUGUGGAUCCCCAGUAAAUACAAUAGGUAAUACCGAUCAGCUUGAAGAGGUACCUGAAAGUUAACAUGCUCAGCUACCCCCUCACCCCCACUGACCCACCCCAGGCACCCCUAAGGAUCCAUAAUCGUUUGGAAACCAUUGGAAUAAACCCUUCAAAUUCUCCCUGACAAAAUGGCUCCCCAUCUGCCCAUCUGAAAUGUGAAAGCACCGUUCGCCCACCAGGGGGCAACAUACCAGAGCCUUGGUUGGAGCCUAAGAGAAUGGAGGAGGGCGUCUCUCUGGAGCCAGAAAGGUCAAGGGUCUAGAAAUACAAAAAGAAAAAGAUGGACUCAAGGCACUGAGGCUACUGUCGCCCCCACAGGGAAAUCCAGGGAGUCAUGGGGGUGCUCAUCGCUGCCCCCAAAGCAUCUCAGUGUCCUCUGCCUGGCACGGUCAGGUGGGAGUGAUGGGCACAGGGCGGCCAGGUGGCCAAACCCCAGGUACCAUCUCCCACACUGAACAGACUGGAACGCAGCACCAGAGUGGCCCCUCACUGUACCCUAGAACAUUCACUGUUUCCUAAACUCCACUCACUAACAGAACCCCCUCCAGAUUUUUGCCAUAUCCAAGGAGAAAGUACAUUACUUCAAAAUUCUGUCAGUCCGCUUUUAAUUCAUGCUAGCCUCUGACUAGGUAAUACUAUCAGUUAAACCAACAUGUUUUAACUGACAGUCUAACGAUUUAUCUUUUUCCUAAUAUGCAAUGAAAUAGAUAUACAGUGACUAAAAAUGUAAAAAACUAUAUACUCAUGAAAAUAGUCUUUGCAUACCAUCAAUGUCACAUACAUCACACCCUGGCAAACAAACAAGGAGGUGAAACCUUCGUGGCCCAAUAGGGCAGCCACUAGCCACAUGUGGCUACUGAAAUCUCAAUUAAUUAAAAUUAAAUAAAACUGUAAAAUCAGGUCCUCGGUCACACUAGCUGCAUUUCAAGUGCUCAAAAGCUGCAUGUAGCUAGCAGCUACCAUUCUGGACGGGAAGUACAGAACAUUUCCAUCAUCGCAGAAAGUUCUCCUGGGCAACACUAUUCUACACUUUGAGGGUCCCCAGCAGAGAGUACUGGGGAGCAGCUGCCAGGUCCCACACACGCCGGCCCAGGCUCCAUGUUCCCACACAUCCACUGGAAAUGCCGGCACACUGUUAGGACAAGCCUCCCACAACACGGAACUUUCAGGGCGGCAGACAGGGGGUCCUAAGUCCACUUGGCACAAAGGGUAGAUGUCACUAGCCAAAGGCAUGGGGGGAUCCUCACCGAGCCACUCUCCUUGCUUUUCUCAGCUGACGUCUCCUUCUCUUUGGAGGCGCUGGCCGUUUCUGAAGGUGCUGAUUGUGUGCUCGAGGAGCUCCCCUGGGAGGACUUAUUUAGUGUUUCUGUGUUCACCUCAGCAUCCGCUUCCUGCUGAGGAGCAGUAGCUGGGGACAAAGGAGAGAGAGAGACGCCACAUAUACACAGAGUACGAUGAUUUUGAAACAUGCAUGGAGCCCCGCCCUGCACCCAGUGGCACCCAAGGCUCAGCCCUACCCAGGGCAUAAAAGUGGAGGCUCAAGGGGGCCAGAUUGCCAGAGUUUUCCAGAAGCUGGAAUUCCAAACUUUAGAAUUCCAAAUUUUAACAUAAACAUGCUGAGAUGGAGUCUCGCUCUGUCAGCCAGGCUGGAGUGCAAUGGCACGAUCUCAGCUCACUGCAACCUCUGUCUCCUGGGUUCAAGUGAUUCUCUUGUCUCAGCCCACCAAGUAGCUGGGACUCAGGUGCACACCACCAUGUCCGACUAAUUUUUUGUAUUUUUAGUAGAGACAGGGUUUCACCAUGUUGGUCAAGCUGGUAUUGAACUCCUGACCUUAGGUGAUCCACCCACCUCGGCCUCCCAAAGUGCUAGGAUUACAGGCUUGAGCCACCGUGCCUAGCCAACAUGUUGAUUUUUAAUGGUUAGCAAUUCAAGUUUUAUUAAAUCAUUCUGGAGAUGAAAGUAUAUUCCUGGAACAAAUAAAGCCCAUCAACAAGAGCCAACCUGUAACUGCUGAUUUAGUUACUCUAUUUAGUCAUUUCUAGGUGGAGACCUAUAUUUUUAGCCCCAGAGACUUUCUUCCUUCUAAGGUGGGACAGGAAAACCACGUGAAAGGCGACAUGCUAUCAGAGGCCCAGAGAAUCUGGAGAUGGCAGAAACUUGGACACAUAGAAAAACAGGGCGUUUGGGGCCGGGUGCGGCGGCUCAUGCCUGUAAUCCCAGCACUUUGGGAGGCUGAGGCGGGCAGAUCACGAGGUCAGGAGAUCAAGACCAUACUGGCUAACACAGUAAAACCCUGUCUCUACUAAAAAACACAAAAAAUUAGCCAGGCGUGGUGGCGGGCACCUGUAGUCCCAGCUACUAGGGAGGCUGAGGAAGGAGAAU